This 90-nucleotide non-coding RNA is filed under the name Porphyridium aerugineum. The record is from RNAcentral. Lineage: Eukaryota; Rhodophyta; Bangiophyceae; Porphyridiales; Porphyridiaceae.
AUCAUAGGUCAUUUAUUUCAUUUUCGUUUGUUUAUAUUCUUAAUAGUUUCUUUUCCCAUGCUUUUGUUUUAGAUGAGUUUGUGUAGUUUG